GAAAGUGCAAGGCUCAACCUUGGAUCUGCGGUGGGUACGGGCAGACUAGAGUGAUGUAGGGGAGACUGGAAUUCCUGGUGUAGCGGUGAAAUGCGCAGAUAUCAGGAGGAACACCGAUGGCGAAGGCAGGUCUCUGGGCAUUUACUGACGCUGAGGAGCGAAAGCAUGGGGAGCGAACAGGAUUAGAUACCCUGGUAGUCCAUGCCGUAAACGUUGGGCACUAGGUGUGGGGGACAUUCCACGUUUUCCGCGCCGUAGCUAACGCAUUAAGUGCCCCGCCUGGGGAGUACGGCCGCAAGGCUAAAACUCAAAGGAAUUGACGGGGGCCCGCACAAGCGGCGGAGCAUGCGGAUUAAUUCGAUGCAACGCGAAGAACCUUACCAAGGCUUGACAUGUGCCAGACCGCCUCAGAGAUGGGGUUUCCCUUCGGGGCUGGUUCACAGGUGGUGCAUGGUUGUCGUCAGCUCGUGUCGUGAGAUGUUGGGUUAAGUCCCGCAACGAGCGCAACCCUCGUUCCAUGUUGCCAGCACGUAAUGGUGGGGACUCAUGGGAGACUGCCGGGGUCAACUCGGAGGAAGGUGGGGAUGACGUCAAAUCAUCAUGCCCCUUAUGUCUUGGGCUUCACGCAUGCUACAAUGGCCGGUACAAUGGGUUGCGAUACUGUGAGGUGGAGCUAAUCCCUAAAAGCCGGUCUCAGUUCGGAUUGGGGUCUGCAACUCGACCCCAUGAAGUCGGAGUCGCUAGUAAUCGCAGAUCAGCAACGCUGCGGUGAAUACGUUCCCGGGCCUUGUACACACCGCCCGUCAAGUCACGAAAGUUGGUAACACCCGAAGCCGAUGGCCUAACCACCUUGUGUGGGGGGAGUCGUCGAA
Molecule: ribosomal RNA, 872 nt
Filed under: Glutamicibacter arilaitensis
Lineage: Bacteria; Bacillati; Actinomycetota; Actinomycetes; Micrococcales; Micrococcaceae
Description: bacterial SSU rRNA
Rfam family: Bacterial small subunit ribosomal RNA
Source: RNAcentral